GUGCCAGCAGCCGCGGUAAUACGGAGGGAGCUAGCGUUGUUCGGAAUUACUGGGCGUAAAGCGCACGUAGGCGGCUAUUCAAGUCGGGGGUGAAAGCCCGGGGCUCAACCCCGGAACUGCCCUCGAAACUAGAUAGCUAGAAUCUUGGAGAGGCGAGUGGAAUUCCGAGUGUAGAGGUGAAAUUCGUAGAUAUUCGGAAGAACACCAGUGGCGAAGGCGACUCGCUGGACAAGUAUUGACGCUGAGGUGCGAAAGCGUGGGGAGCAAACAGGAUUAGAUACCCCCGUAGUCC
This 292-nucleotide ribosomal RNA is filed under the name uncultured bacterium. Its description in RNAcentral is "partial 16S ribosomal RNA". It matches the Rfam family "Bacterial small subunit ribosomal RNA", at positions 505 to 796 of the family's 1533-position model. The record is from RNAcentral.